RNAcentral lists this microRNA (22 nucleotides) under Homo sapiens (human). RNAcentral describes it as "hsa-miR-4715-5p". The record is from miRBase by way of RNAcentral. Lineage: Eukaryota; Metazoa; Chordata; Mammalia; Primates; Hominidae.
AAGUUGGCUGCAGUUAAGGUGG